UACGUAGGGGGCAAGCGUUGUCCGGAUUUAUUGGGCGUAAAGAGCGUGUAGGCGGCCAGACAGGUCCGUUGUGAAAACUCGAGGCUCAACCUCGAGACGCCGAUGGAAACCGUCUGGCUAGAGUCCGGAAGAGGAGAGUGGAAUUCCUUGUGUAGCGGUGAAAUGCGCAGAUAUCAGGAAGAACACCCGUGGCUAAGGCGGCUCUCUAGUACGGUACUGACGCUGAGACGCGAAAGCGUGGGGAGCGAACAGG
RNAcentral lists this ribosomal RNA (253 nucleotides) under uncultured bacterium. Its description in RNAcentral is "partial 16S ribosomal RNA". It matches the Rfam family "Bacterial small subunit ribosomal RNA", at positions 524 to 776 of the family's 1533-position model. The record is from RNAcentral.